RNAcentral lists this unclassified non-coding RNA (6490 nucleotides) under Haliotis rufescens (red abalone). RNAcentral describes it as "protein Hook homolog 3-like, transcript variant X5". The record is from RNAcentral. Lineage: Eukaryota; Metazoa; Mollusca; Gastropoda; Lepetellida; Haliotidae.
GAGUUGCGACCCCUGUUAACCAAAAAUACCAAGAUCAAACAAUAUUUUCUUCAUGGGCUGAUUAAUCACUUCUAUUUUCAUUGGAGUUUGUUUGAUUUGAUUUUCGCGAAAAUGGAUAGAGACAAACUUUGUACCAGCCUUAUCACUUGGCUGAAGACUUUCAAUAUAGAUGUGCCAUGCAGCACGGCUGAUGAGCUUAGUAAUGGAAUAGCCAUGGCACAAGUACUUCACCAGAUAGCUCCAGAUUACUUCAGUGAAUCCUGGAUGUCUAAGAUGAAGAGAGAUGACACCCUAAACUGGAGGUUAAAGGUCAGCAACUUGAAGAAAAUAUUGAAAGGAAUACUGGAAUAUAAUCUUGAGGUGCUUGGUAUACAGAUUCAAGGUUUCCAGAUGCCCGAUAUAAAUGCCAUAGGUGAACACAACAAUGCAUCUGAGCUGGGGCGGUUGCUGCAGCUGAUCCUGGGCUGUGCUGUCAACUGUGAGGAGAAGCAUGAGUACAUCCAGCGCAUCAUGGCCAUGGAGGAGUCAGUGCAGCAGAUGAUCAUGAACGCCAUUCAGGAGUUGAUGACAAAAGAAAUUGCUUCUGCGGCAGAUUCCGAGUCAGAAAUGGCAGAACAGCUGAAGAAGACGGUGGAAGAAUUGAAUAGUGCCUUAGAAGCUAAAGAAGAACUCUUGCAACGAUGUCACGAACUUGAUAUGCAGGUGGCGUCACUGUCAGAGGAGAAGACAAUGUUCAGUGUGGAGAAUGAGAGACUAUUGGAGAGACUCCAUCAAGCUGAGAGUAUGGACGAUCCAAGUACCCCUGCUGGAAAGAGGUACCACCACCUAUCUAGUCAGAUAGAAAAACUACAGGAAGAGGUGUAUAAGCUGGAGACAGGCAAGGAUGAUUACAGAAUCAAAUUUGAAGUGGCAUCAAAAGAACUUGCAGAACAGAAGGAAAAGAAUGCUGAGUUAUCAGCAUUAGCCGAUGAAGCCAGGUCGUUAAAAGAUGAACUGGACAUUCUUAGACAUACAUCAGAACAAGUGGCCAAAUACGAAUCAACAAUUGAGUCCUAUAAAAAGAAAUUGGAGGACAUGAGUGAUUUACGAGGACAGAUAAAAAUGUUAGAAGAGAAAAAUACUAAAUAUAUGCAAGAGCAUUUAGAACUACAAGAGGAUGCACGUAAGGCGUCCUCCUUGAAGCAGCAGCUGGAGAUGUACAAGAUCCAGACCCAUGAGCUGCAGAGCAAGUUGGCAGAUGAGAUCAAACGAGCUGACAAGGCCGAGUUUGAGUUCAAGAGGGUGCAGGAGAAGAUGGUUACAUUGCAGAGUGAGAGAGAUAGAAUAGCGACUGAGCGGGAUUCCCUCAAAGAGAUGAAUGAGGAGCUGAAAUGUACAACCCAGUUCCAGGUGCCGGACAUCGUGGCCGGGAAUAAUGAGCUACCAGACCUGGCAUCCACACCGCAUCGCAUGGAAAUGCUUUCAAUACCUCCAGAAAUUAAGGAGAAAUUACUUCGUCUAGAGCAUGAGAACAGGAUGUUGACGAUGGGGUCGGCAGGGACGCAGGAUGAGCAGACACAGUUGAUACAGACGAUGCUGGACGAUGCCAAUGCCAGGAAGAAUGAGCUAGAGACAGAAGUCAGGAUAGGGAACCAGCGUAUCUUGGAGCUUGAGGCGCAGCUGGAGGACCUCCAGGACAACAAGCUGUCCAGUGUUUCCAACACCGAGGUCAUACAGCUGCAUAAGAAGAUCAACGAGCUGGAGCAGAAGGUGGACAGUCAGACCACGGAGCUGGGUCAGCGUAACCGUGAGCUGGCACAGCUGCAGGGACAGGUCAGCGCUGGCGCCGACAGGGUGCUGUCUCUCCAGGAACAACUCAACAAGAAGGAUGACGACAUGAAGACGAUGGAGGAACGAUACACCAGAUACCUCGAGAGGGCCAAACAGGUUGUGUCUGAGAUGAGCAGCAUGCAGAAGAUGGAUGGCGAUGCUCCUGAGCUUCAGUUGCUGAGGAACCAGCUGAUAGAAAAGGAGAGGCAGAUAUCACAGAUGGAGAAGGAGAGUGAGAAGACGAGGAACAUACGAGACCAGGAACAGAAGCUGAUGGUGUCUGCCUGGUACAAUCUGGGUAUGCAAAUCCAGAGGAAAGAAGCUGAAGAGAGACUUGUCAACAGCUCCCUGGGUCAGUCAUUCCUAGCACGCCAACGUCAGACUCGCACUCGUCAGGGCCAGCCACAAGUCACCAACCGUCCCAAUUCUACAAGUGUCUCACUUGGCACUAGCAAUAACAUCCCGUCGUCAUGACAACAGUGACAUCAUCGCUAUCAUGGGAUUGGUGCUUGACAGUGGCGGCAGUGCACACUAUUGCUGGCUGUGUUUCAUACACUCAUAUAUUAUUCUGUAUCAGUGAGAUGCAGACUGUAUUAUAUGUAUUAUAUAGCAUACAAGAUGAAUAUGUUUAGCAUGAGUAUAUGCAUUCGUAUGCAGCGGAAAUUGAAGGGAGACAACUCGACUCAGAAAGUUUGAAUAUUGAUGGCAAUUAUCAUGAAAAAUUCUGAUAACAGAAACCAUUCUAGUGGAGCUGAGACCUGAGCUGGGUUCUAUGACACAUAGUCCAUGACAGAAUAAUGUGACAUUAUUCUCUCAUAAAAAUAAUAUGUCUAUUUAUAAUAUGCCAGAUUUACUUAGUGAAUGCUCAUGAUGCUGGCUCAUGGGAUGGGUGUGUGUGUUUUCAAUCUAUUUGUCCUUGGCUGGAAUUUUUAAGUGGGUUGAGCAUGAAACAUCAUCAGGAUCAACAAUAAAGAAGUUGUUAUAUGCAAGUAUCUUGAAAAUUAGUAAGUUCCAGUACAUUUGACUAAUUAUGUUGACGGAGAAUUGCUUGAUUGAAAAUUAUCAUUUCUCAUCCAUGAGAACUGAACGAAUCAAGCUCUCAAGCAUUGGGUCUGCUUCAUAAGAAUUCCUACACUCAUGCUGAGCAUAAUGAUGAGAUGUAUAUUGUUAAGUCAUGCAUCACUGAGUAACAACACACUAACUGCCUUAACAUCAGAAAACUAACAGCAGGCUAUGGGGGCCUUACUCACAUCCUUUGUGUAUCAGGGUUACAUUGGUCAUUGUCUUGUCAGCCCAUUAAUAAAUGUUACAUUGAAAACAAGCUCAGUUCAUCUCAUUAAAAGUGAGCCCAGUAGGUGUUUUGAUGAUCUUUUAAAAAGAUAUUGAAAAUGUAUAACUUUAGUGAUCAAGAUUGGUAGGUUAGUUGAUGAUGUGAUGUUUGGAGAUGAAUGUGAGAAUGUUUGACUGCAUGUGUUUGAGAUGAUGUUAAAGUAACAGAUGAUGUUUUUUCUGUAUGUUUGUAACAUGAUAGUAUAUGGUCAUGGCACCAAACCUCAAACCAUUUUAUAAGAAUAAAAAGAAAAUUACUGUCUCAGAUAUUAAGAUGAUGUUUUUUGUGUUUCAUUGCAUGGCAUUUCUUUGGUUUAUUAUGUGGGCUUGCUUUGUGGUCAUUGAAUUAUAUUUGCAUGCCAGGGUUAAGCAGUUAUGUUUCAUUUCAUCUUUGAUUGCCGUGCUUUGGUUUUCAGAUAUUUUACAGUGAAUCAUUUGUUGUAUGUACAUUUCAUCCUAGUCUUAAAGUGGUUACUCUGCUUUUGGUAUUUGUAUUUUCAUGUGAAUUAUUUGCUUACUUUGCAGUUUUGUGUCUAUAACAUCUUAUCAGGAUUAACUUGAAGAUGCCAACUUGCCAUGUGGAAGGAUAAUAUACUGAGCACCUAUAUUUCUUUUUGAAGAAAUUCAUAUUAUCAUUUAGAAAAAUUGAAACUGAACAUUCUGAAGAGCCACUGAAACCAGAAGACAUUGCAAAGCUAGAGUAAUCGUAACAGUGGUGUUGGAUGUUACUCUUUCUAUUGAUCAAUGGUUUGGACAGACUUAUUUAUCAGCAGCAUUGAUAUAGCUGAAAUAUUGCUGACUUCGGCAUUAAAUGAAAAACAAAUCCUUUUCACUUUGGAUACCAGCAAUAAGGCUAAUCUCAUGGGGAGUAUGACUACCAUUCAGUAUAGUUUAUACAUAGAGAUGUGCCAUUACAAAUCAUAGACACUUCAACAACAGAAAUUAACCUGAAAUGUUUGGAAUAACAUGACAACCCCUUAACAUCACGAAAUUCUGCUAGUCAUCAGGAUACUUACUUACAAUAGAUGAACUGAUCAGGCUAGCUGGCAUGUGAAUUUCUACCCCUGUACUUUUUUACAUGUGUAUAAUCUCUUAGUCAAGUGGGGAAUAUGGGUUUUAUCAUUUGUUAUCGAAACAGACUGUAACCCGAGGCAGACAUUUAUUCAAAGUUAUGCAAAAUCUUCCAGGAUGGUAUGACAUGGAUUGGAUAUGUUGAUUAGUUGUUCACAGAGUUUAUAUUUUAAUAAUGUGAUGCUUAAUGCAGUGAAUAUUUAUCACAGACUAAACUUGAUCUCCGCGUUACAGUUCCAUGUGAAUUAUUCUAUUUCAUAUAUCAUGCAUUUGUAUCUUGAAAAUAUAUACAUGCAUAGUUAUUGGGGGGAGGAAAACUAAAUAGGUAUAUUACUGUUCAUUGUCGAUGUCUUUCUUCCAUGCCUGUUACAACCUUUCUCCUUUGAUUUUACAACUGUUCAGCAGCUUUUUCAGUGUAUGGGAAAUAUCUGUCUGUAUUUAAGAUUUCUUGUUAAGGGACAGAUUUGAGAUCCUUUUCACAUUUGUUUGCUGUCUAUAUUUUCAAACCGAGGGUGUUGUUAUUAAACAUGUUAAAUCAUAAAUUUACUAUAACAAGCAACUGAACACAUGUUGAAAUGGCAAUGUCCUGCAAUAUAUGACAACAGGUGUACAUUUCUCCUUAUACUGUUAGAUUGUAAAAAAAUACUAGUGCUAUUUAUGCUAUUAAUGCUUAUAAUCUUUGUACAUAUAUUCCAUUUUAAAACCAAAUGCAUGUUGUAUGAAAUUUAUUCAUGAAUCCUGUUCAAUAAAUAUAUAUUUGGGGUAAGCCAAAUCAGACACAAUGGCCACCAUAUGAAGAUUGAAAAUCACUGAAGAAUGUCUCAUACAUUAUUUGCUGUGGAAAAGUUAAACACCUUCUAUUAGAUAGUUCUAACGAUACUAUUUACCUCAUUAUGAUGCAGGGCGGCGGGGUAGCUUAGUGGUUAAAACCUUCACUCAUCACGUCAAAGAUCUGGGUUCGAUUCUCCACAUGGGUGUAAUGUGUGAAGCGCAUUUCUGGUGUCUCCCGCCAUGUUAUUGCUGGAAUAUUGCCAAAAGUGGCAUAAAACCAUACCUACUCACUAUAAUGAUGCAACUAACUACGUAAGUAUUGGUUUCAAUCAACUUGGAUGUCUUUAUUUUCAAUAUCACAGAAUAAAAGUUCAAACUUGAACUGCCACAUGAGUGUUACAAAAUAAUAUAAACAACAUUUUAACUUUAAAAAGGUCACUUGUUAGAUGUGGCACUAAGUCUGUUAUUCUUUUUACGUCACUUUAGGAAAUACCCUUACCUCUGUUCUUGACCUAAAGAAGUGAAGACGUUAGGUUCUGUCCUGCAUUAAGGUUGUGUAAAGUGUUGACAUAAGUGAUUGUCUUGCAGCACCAUACACCUUACAUCAACUGAUUCCUUGUUUCAUUUAGCCAUCCUUGUUGCUUUAUUGUUUUUACUUUGUUUCAACUGUAGCUUUGUCAUAGAAACUUAUUUCAUCAUCAUCAAGCAAAUGUUCUUGUGUAACCUAUUUCCAUUCUGCUUUAUUUUUGUAUUUUGAGGGUUUGAAUCUUUGAUUUCCUCAGUGAACAUAUGAAUAAAUCCUUCUAAUCUGUCAAAGUUUUUAAGUACCUUGCAUGAACGUUACCUAGAUAGCUUCAAGGAAAAUAUGGUCUAUGCAAGAAAUCAUAUUCGACAUUAAUUAAACACAAGCUUUUGUUUUGUGAAAAUAUGUAUAUUUUGUGUCUGUCUUCAUGAAGGAUUGAAUGUCUUAACUACCACUCAUUUACAGAUCCCAUUUGUAAGAGUAUCAUUUGAUAAGAUGAAACUAUGACAUAUACAAAGCAAGGUAAAAAAUAAGGACAACGAAAAAGUGAAGGUUUACCAUCUUAACCAUGAAUUACAGUGAGGAUUGUUCUCUUGAAUGCAAGUCAAAAGGAAAUAUGCCAUGGAAAAUUUGGCUGUAUCUGUGGCUGUUUGCAAUGAUAGUCUUUUGACAAGACAGUCCUCUAUAAAUUAUGGUACUAUUCAAGAUUGUUUGGAACUGACUGUAUAUGGAAGGUUUUACAAAGAUUUUGAUUAUUAUGAUUAUUAUGACAAGAUUUUGUAAAUGGGAGUAUGGUACUUUGUUUUGUUUUGAAUGCAAUGUAGUUUAGCUUUUCUGAAUGGGAUGCUGUUAUUAUGUCAUGACUGGGAGUUUCAUACACCUCUACUAUAGAAGGCCCCUUGUCACAUAUGCAUUUAUAUGUAACAUAUUUCUUGUACUGUACAUUAUUUGUAUAUAUAUUUAUCCAAUAAAUAUUUUGAUCAUGAA